This 614-nucleotide long non-coding RNA is filed under the name Phoenix dactylifera (date palm). RNAcentral's name for it is "long non-coding RNA (PDAC_LNC020611)". The record is from RNAcentral. Lineage: Eukaryota; Viridiplantae; Streptophyta; Magnoliopsida; Arecales; Arecaceae.
AAGCACCAUGAGUCAUGUGCUUUGCGAAACGUUUAUAAAUUAAAAAAUAGAUAAUCUAUAAAAUUUAGCUUGAAGUGCAUAUUACUAGUCCAUUGUUGAGUAUUUGCAGCUUGCAAACAUCGAGAUUUCCUUCAUAAUUUGGGCUGGGACUUUGACUCCAAUAUAAGUUAUAUAUUAAUGAUCAAUGUACUAGAAAUUUCACAUCUAGUGAGUCAGUUAAGAAGCUUGACCUGGAGAUUGAAGAUCUGUGAGAUUAGGCCCAGAAUUGGCUAUUGGACUGAAGUCGGCAGGCCCAAGUGACUUCAGUUUAAUGCCGAAGGAAGAAUUAGAGAGAAUUGCAAUAGCGAUCCUUUGCUUUGUCUUCUUCGGAAAGAUAAGGCCGUAGAGUCAUGGCCGACUCUGUGGGGAGGUAGAACGGCCGCUAGCUGUUCGAUCGAGCUUCUCUUCGGAAGCCUUCCCUAUAAAUCUCUACUUACCUUUUCGAUUGAUCCUCUACUGAGCCCCCAUCUCUCCUCUCUUGCCUCUAGCAACUGACACAUCACCAUCUUUGAGUUCUGCCGAGCCUUAUCCCCUCUUUCUUAUGCUUCUCCGGCGGCCGAUGUGCUACCCCAACC